RNAcentral lists this ribosomal RNA (301 nucleotides) under uncultured bacterium. RNAcentral describes it as "partial 16S ribosomal RNA". It matches the Rfam family "Bacterial small subunit ribosomal RNA", at positions 509 to 808 of the family's 1533-position model. The record is from RNAcentral.
CAGCCGCCGCGGUAAUACGUAGGGGGCGAGCGUUGUCCGAAGUUACUGGGCGUAAAGCGCGCGUAGGCGGCUUCUUAAGUCUGAGGUGAAAGGUUCAACGCUUAACGUGAACAGUGCCUUGGAUACUGGGGAGCUUGAGUAUGGGAGAGGGCAGUGGAAUGGCUGGUGUAGCGGUGAAAUGCGUAGAUAUCAGUCGGAACACCCAUGGCGAAGGCAGCUGCCUGGCCUAAUACUGACGCUGAGGUGCGAAAGCGUGGGGAGCGAACGGGAUUAGAUACCCGCGUAGUCCCUGUCUCUUAUA